GUCUAAGUGUAGUAACCUAUCGAUGUUAUGCUUUAGCUUAAGGCUAAUUGUGUUAAAUGUGUUGUUUCUUGAUGUUGCGUUGGUUCAUUUAAUUUAGAGAACCGUAAUUAUUGUGUUUAAUCGUAUGUCGAUAACUAGUGUCUUCGUAGAAAGGGGUACGACGCUUCGCCGCUAGGUGUUUAAUUCGAUAUCGCAUAACACUAUUUAGGUUUGUAAUAUUCCUGUUUAUAUGCACUCAUGUGCAUCAUGCAUCUCAAUUAGGUACGAUAAUUGAUCGCGUGAUGCGGAAGACGAACCAAGUCGACCCCAAGCGCGGGCUACUCCGCAUGGAGAUGCUGAUGCACGAAUCUGCCUGAUCAAGUGCUAGGACAAGGAUGAUCGUCAAGUGGACGUCACCUAACAACACUAACCUAGUGUUACCCAGGCAAGCCCCGGUGCAUUUGCCACCUCCUUGUUGUUUUAAAACUUUUAUCACUUAUAUGCUGCAAUAGGUGAUAGGAGUUGAGUGAAGAAACAAUUGAUGCAUUGCCAUUCCUUGGAAUUCGAUUACUAUUCCUUGAUACCUGUUUUAUAAAGAGAACUAAUGAGGCUUAGCCCUGCUUAGAAACUAAAAGUUGUUUCUUUUAAAAAGAAUGUUGUGCAACACUGGAUAUGGGUUUUAUGAAAAAGGAACUUGUAAUAAUGAAGGCAUCACUCGCGAUGAUGAAUUCAUUAUUCGAGUAUUGUACCUCUGUCAGGUACAUGGUUUGGGUGUUAAAUAAUAAGAUGAGACCAGACGUUGAGCAGGAAAGGUCGCCCGUCUGUGUCGAUUAAGGACCGUUCCGAUUGUUGGCCUGCUGAUCUAGGACCCUUUAACUGGCCACAUGCCUCAUCAUGGGUAAGCUUAGCCUCGGCUGGACCAAUACCAGAAAGGCCGGCCCGCAAUGGGAGUGGAGAGAUGGCGAGAGUAUCGUGUAUCCACCUGGCAAGAGGCUGGAUGGUGGGGUACUGAGCUCUCGGUUGGCGGGGACCCGUUCUGGUCUUGAGAAACCCGGUGGCGAGUUGACAUAUGCAAGGGUUAAGUGCUACAUAUGUCGUGUGGUUGGAGAUCCCCAGCUGGGUAUUAAUCGAUUCGGAUCGCCGAACUUCUCGGAUAUGAAGACUGGAUCUUCGACCCUCAUCGUAGAUAACAAGUGAAACUAAAGCUGCUAAAAUGAAGCUAGUGUAGGACAAGUGAAUGCUCUAGAUUAGGCAAAUCUAGAUUCAGGAAAAGUACUUAAUCUGUGAAGUAAAACUUUGGCAUAAGGAUCCACUACUAGUAAGCUUUUCUGCAAAAACGAGUCUUUGAAAUUUGAUGAGCUUUAUCUUGAUUCCCAACAAACCAGCAUACCCUUGAGAGUCUUUUCUUUAGUCGGGUAAGUCUUGCUGAGUAAUUGCAUACUCAGGGUUUUAUUCCCUGUUGUUUUUCAGGUUAUAAUUUUGUUCUGUUGUGGAUGGUGCUAAGUGCCGGUGGGCUCGGCCUUCUUAUAUAAGUAUAUCCCAUCUUUAGCUUCUUUAUUGAGGAUUGUCACUUAAGCUAGCAUGUAUUUUAAAAACUUAUAAAUAUUUUAUACAUUUUAAAGUGUAAUUCUGUUGAAUCAUUUUCUUUUGUAAUCACUCCAAUAAUUGUAUAAUGUAAACUUAUUGUAACAUGUAAUUAUUUUGCAAUAAAGAAUUUAUUUCCGCUGCAAAUAUUGGUGUGUGAUUUGUGUUUACUUAAUCUUGCGAUCUUGGCGGUAAGUCGUUUAUCCGGGGUCCUCGGGGCACUCGGACAGAUCCUGUUAAGAUGUUUGGUGCACACGCAUAGCUGUCUGAGGUUUUUGAGACGAGGACAGAUGCGUGUGGGCCCGAUAACUUGGGAGGUUCUGCGACAGCUGGUAUCGGAGCUGGAUUAAGUAUAUACGGUCACAUACAUAUUUUCAAAAUAAAAGUUUUGGUUUUGAAAAACCUAUUUUCAACUAAACACAUUGUUUGGCUUUGAAAAACUAUAAUGCUAGCGACAUCCUCUAUUAAGCCCUAAAUUAAGGACUACCUGGUGGCUUAGUUGAAAACCAUAACCGGGUGGAUAUUGCAUACAUGUGUAUUGUUAUUUUUGAAAGCCAUUCAGUCUUGAAUGGAUCGACGCUCAAGGUAAGGUGAGAUGUGAGAGCAUGACCGAACAACCGUCGGUCUAGGGAAGUGCUUAAUUGUGGCGCUUGAUUAUAUACAUGUUUUACAUAUGUAUAUAUGAAGGCUGCGAUGUGGAGUAUUUACUUUUCGGGAAUUCAGUACCCCAUUGAUGUGUAUGGGUAUACAGACAUGGGAAUACUGAGAAGUGUAAUGUACUUGUAACGACGCACCUACGCUCAGGUAAGAAGGUGAGUUACCAUAAUGAGCUGCCCUAUGGUUAAAGUGUGGCAGCGGCGCCUAUGCGUGGCUCGGCGCUUAAUGAUGAGCUGACCUCCAUAUAGCAAUAUAUGGAGUAUAAACUGUGAUACACUGUCAUAUGUGACUUGCAUCAUUGGGAAUUGGGCUGUAAUGGAUUUUCUGCAGGUACACUAACCUCGAAAACGUAUGUGUAGCUGACGACUAGAAAAAUACCGUGAGAGAACGUAUGCCACCGAUAUAGAACGUUAUUUCCACAAUAUGUUGGCAAAAUUAGUGAGGACGAAUAGGACGAGCAUGCAUCCUGAUUGUUGCAUCAUGUUUGUCACCUAUACACCCAAAAUGCUUCUCUCAUCCUUAUUCCAGAAACCAGUGAUUGUAGAUAAUCUGGUGUAAUGUUGAAUUAUGAACUUCGAUGAAAUAGCUGCCCUCCAUUCUUUAGGUAAUCUGUUUAGGUGUUAUAUGUAUUUUGCCCUAGUGCUUGAUGUGUCGAUAGAAGGUUAGUGACUUGUUUGCCUAAACCCAAAUCUAGGCCAUGUUCUUAGUUGGUGAAACAUGACCAAAGUUGAUUUUUCCGUUACCCCUCCUUGACCCAAACUUAUACAAAUAAAUGUUUAGGUAAUUUCUUCGUUGGACAAAAAGGGUACUUAAGCUUAAAACAAGAAUCUCGAGUCAUGUCUCAUUCCAAAACCAUUCCCUUGUUUGGUUGGUGCAAGCUGAUGUUUCUAUUCCACUUUGCCUCUUCUGGAGGAUCACAUUGUUGCUUUACCAACCCAGUCUAGGAAAGACCUAUUCAGUCGUUUUCUUGAAUUUGGUGCCUUUGAUUUUUCUCAUAUCUAUCGAAGGCAUACCAACUUAAUCUUGUGAUUGUUUUUCCUCCGUAUCUAAUCAGAUACUAAUUCUUGACUUGUAUUGUUGCGAUGGGCAUAGAAAUAUGCUUGGGGCUGAAUUAACAGUCUCCCACCGUACUCCCUUCAUCAACCAAUUUUUGGUUUUGGCCAUAUCGUGUUCACUUCAUCGGGCCAUAAUCUAUUUGGUUCUCUACUUGUAACUGUUCUUAACAAGUGGAGUAUCUCUUUGUAUAUUGUCACCCUUGCUCAAUCUAUUGGUGUCGCGCGAGAUUUCUUAUUGGUUACGUCUAGUAAUGGUGUUGUGACUAAAAUCGAUGGUGCCGCGAUGAAACCGAGGGCCUCCUGUGGACGAUCGACACACGGUUGUGCUGCCCGGCACACGCUGGUAUCACGAUUAGUAGUUGUGAUCCAUUAUGAGACUAUAUCAAUGGGUUAUCUUGGCACAAUCUAUUUCUGCUACAUAAGAUUCAUUAUUGGUGCUAGUUCGAUGAUGGUGUCCUAGUCAAUAACUUAGGGUGCCGCGUAAAUCUGAAAGUCUCAUGUGGCGGCCGACACAUGGUAGUACUAUUCGGUACGCUAGUAUCGAAGUUCUUGGCUAUGAUCCAUUAUGGAACCACACUAACAUGCUAUCUUCCGUAGAUCUCUUCCUUGAAACGAUUUCGGUGUUGUUUGUCAAGUGAUCAAGCAACAUCUAUCAUCUCUAUUGGAUCAAAAGGACAUACCACUUCCAUGUGUGGUCUCUUUUUCCUUGACUUUGGUAGUGACUACAUACAUACAAGUUCCCUUUACAUCCUUUGUGUAAAGGUGAAGCUUUGAAGCUUUUUAGUGUUGGAAAACAACUGAUUAGCUCUUGAAAUGGAGAUUGACUUUUCCUGCUGCUGAGAUGCAGGAGUUUGUUCAUUCGCUCACUUAUUUAAUCCAUGUAUUCCUGGACCAAGUCGGUUUAUCUUGCAUAAAGAAACGGAUGAACAAUUUGACCAAAUAGAUUUUUACCCAAAUACAUAAUCUCUUGUUAACAAAGAGAGCUCUCAACCGUUGGCUUACCAAUGGUACUGAGAGGACUUACUCAAUGUCAACCGUAGUUCAACAAGUUGGUUUUACUAACUUGUAACUGCAUUGGGAACAACGGUUCGGAGAUCGUUUUGUCGAGUUGUCUAAACUCACUUUGGUUCAAUCCAUCCUAGGAAGGUACUUGUAAGAAUCAAGUCAAGUUGGCCAGUAACCACCUAGCCAUCGCUCCAGCCAUGCCUCGAUCGCCUCACGCGUGCUUUUCUAGCAUGUGUGAUCAUGUCGAACCAUGCCUAGUGCUUGAUAAAAUGGAUUGGUUGCAAAGUCAACAUCAACGGAUCUCUUCGUUGAUAUUUUCCCGAGUCCUUAUCAUUUUUCUUGGACUUGGAUUCACUGGCUAACACGAGUUAACUGGGAUGUUAUUCGACAUUCACACCUGUCUCGGGUGCUAUGAACUUACCAUGACCACUUGUUGGUAAACCUCCUUCGGUGUGUUUUACCCAAGAUGGUGCAUCUGAUUCUAUUUGGGGUAAAGUCGCAUAUCUACUGCUCGCCCAACAGACUCAGAUAGUACAGUUCAUCAGAAAAAGCAAACUGCACACAUGGAACCUUAUAUGUUCCCCUGGCAGACAUCGUCUCUAUUGGUGGACAUUUCUAAAUUAGCCUAAGGCAAUAUAUGUUAUGUCCACGAGAGAAACCACAUUCUGAGACACUCGCCUUUGCUCAGAACUGUCUUACGAUUAUCGCUGAUAUGGACAUGGGUUACAUGCUACUCUACUCUUAGAAGUCUUUCGCUCCGAAUCUCGGACGAGAUUCUUUUAAGGGGGGAGGGCUGUAACACCCCAGGUGUUUAUAUUCCGCUCGACAACGAGUACGAAUUUAAGCACGAAAUAUCAGUGGAUAAACCAGAUUUUAAAUUUUAAUCAUCUUCGGUUAUUGCAAUUUUAAUAUCGCAUAUGUUUCGCCUAUCGCGAGUUCAACUUUGUUCGUCCGGGCUCGUCCUAAAUUUUCGUGCUGUUCGGAACAUAUUUGUUCUGAAAAUCGGUGCGUCCGGUGAAUAUUUAAAAUUCAUCGCUCGCGCGAAUCCGAAUUCGGAAGCCCGAACCCCUAGGAUGAUUUUUAGCCUGGGCGAAUUAAAUAGAACUCGACGACUAAGUUUUCAAUGCAAAAUAAUUUAAUCUCUUUUUUGUCAUCCGUGACAUCGUGUCUACGGAUUUUUAAUUAAAUUGCUCUCUAACCGAGUGUUCGAGUAGCGAACGGAAUUCGUCUAAAAUCAACUGAAUCAGAUGCAGAUUUAAAUAACAAAGCCGAAAUCCGUUUAAUUCGUUCUGUUUGCAUCAUAUCCGAACCCGAUAUUAUCGGAGACAAAGAGAUUAACGUUUGAUUUUAUAGCAGAUGAUACUGGGUCCGAAAGAAUACUCUGGAUCGCUUGCGUUACCAUGAAACCAUGCACAAGCUUAAUAAUUGGGAUUAUUCUUUAGUGUGCUAUUCUAGGCAGAGAAAUCAAACGGGUUCGAAAAACAGAUAAAUUUUUAUCCGGGUUCAACUAAAUUAAUAGCAUCUCAAGUACUAUAUUUUGAUAGUGUUUCGACCCGUAUGUUUAUCGCCUUGAUCCAAAUCUUUAAAUAUAAAUAACGGCUAAAAAUUCAUCUGACUUUAGUAUCCAUCUAAUCAAAGAAUGUCUAAAUAUUAUCGUUGGCCUCAUUUAGAUCUGACCCAUUUAUACAUUUUCUAAAUCCAAAUUUUAGAACCUAGAUUUAACCUUGUUCUUUUCUUUAAAAUGAUACGAGAGAGGAAAGAAUUUUUUUUUUACAAAAAAAACUUUAUCAUAUCCUAGCGCCGCUUCCUUUAUCUGUUCUUAUCUUUGAGUCGUUGUCAUCCAUUCUUAUCCUCCGUAUAAUCUCCUCUUCAUCCUAAAAUCAGCAAUUCACUAGAGUCCCUAGGAUAUUUCUCCCUGAACGUGCACAACGUCCUAGAGGCUCUAUCACGUCAUCUUCUAGCUUCCAUAUGAUUCCUCUCCACUAGUCAUUCCUCUAGAAAAUCUCCAGCCGCUGCCCUCCAUCUGAUAUUUCGUAUAUCUGCUGGCUAGCGCUCGGCUUCUUUCGCACACGCUCCUGCUGCCGGUACCCAGUCCUACGGCCCCUCCUCUCUCCACCUCGACUCGCCGGCGUUGCUCGGCUGCAGCUCGUCGGAGCUUCCUGUUCUCAGCGCGCCGACCUCCCUCUUCUCCUUCAUGUCCGGCCGCCGGUCUGGCCGAGGACCCUGGUCGUGGGGUCGCGUCCUCCUCCCUCGUCGCGGACCUGCCGUGUCCUGGGCGCCAUUCCAGCACUGCCAGGUUCCGCGCCAUCGUGCCUCUGGGUCCUCGCCGCGGUUCAGGCCGUCGAUGCCUGUUGCCCCGACGCUCCCUCACGCUCCUUUAUCAGCCUCGCCUAGACCUCCGCCUCCUCGUCGGACUGCACACACGCCGCCGCCAUUUCUUGCAGUUUCGUCGCGCCAUCCCCUCUGAUUUCCUUGUUCUCGUCGGCUUAAACUCCGUUGACGUACCCUGCAAGCAGGUUUGACGCCCUCUCAAUUAUUCUGCUCGUUUCACUAACCGAUGCCUGUGCCUUGAGGUUAACUAUGUGUAUGUGUGUAUGUAUCGAGAGAAAAUCCUAGAUGUUAAAUCAUGUAGAAUAGUGAAGUCCAGUUCGUCGCUCGCCAGGUGCUCGAUAUAUUGCCUGAGUCGGAUUUGUCACCAUUUUCGCGAGUCCUGACUCGAUUUAGGUAUUGUGUAAGUUUAGAUUCGCUUGCAGUGAAGUUUAGUUCAAUCAGUUAGUCUUCGAAUAUUUGCGCAAUUAGAAAUAUUUUUUUUCCAUUAGUGAAAUAAAUCACACAAUGGAAGUAAUAAAAUGAAUAAUUUAUUGUAUCUGAUUUUGGGAUUGAAUGGAGUCCAUGGACCACAAUUCACAAGUUGAUCCUUGGCGUGUGCUUUAUGUAGCUAGAACUAUAAUUCACUUGAUGCUUCAUCUUCUCAUACGUAAGGUCUAAAACUCAUAAUCGUCGUCGGUUCCGCUGUAGUCGAGUCGAAUUGAUUAUGAUACUAUUAAAUCUUGGAGUUUCUCGCAGCUAAGCUUAAUUCAGUUUGGGUAUGGAUAGUUAGAUAACUAGUUUAAGUGUACUUAAUCACCUUUCUUUAAUAAAGUAAAUACUAGAUAAUUAAGAAAGAUUGGAUAAUGUUGAGUGAAGUCCAUGGAACGUCGACCUUGGUUAAUCCAUGGCACGCCUGUGAUGUUUGCCUGAAUGCAAGCUAGGAUGAGUUGCUUCUAAAUGAGUAACUCCAUUUUUACUCUAAAUUAGUAUGUUUAUCUAAUCAUCUUGUUAUAUGGUGGACUAGUAAGUACCUUAGGCAAUAAUUUAUUAAUCUAUAAUGUACUAUUGGAGCUUAUAAAACUAGUUAAAUUACUCUUAACUUUAAUCUAAGUCUUAGGUGGCUAUCACUGGUGAAUCUAAGUUUUAGUAAUUUCUUGGGAUGUACUGCCUUCUUGGUGCUUGUGCGAGACCUUAUUGAAUUAGAAAGUUAGUUAAAUGUGUUCUAUCACCUUUGCCAAGUUUUGAGUGUUAAAAAGUGACAGGUCUAAGUGUAGUAACCUAUCGAUGUUAUGCUUUAGCUUAAGGCUAAUUGUGUUAAAUGUGUUGUUUCUUGAUGUUGCGUUGGUUCAUUUAAUUUAGAGAACCGUAAUUAUUGUGUUUAAUCGUAUGUCGAUAACUAGUGUCUUCGUAGAAAGGGGUACGACGCUUCGCCGCUAGGUGUUUAAUUCGCUAUCGCAUAACACUAUUUAGGUUUGUAAUAUUCCUGUUUAUAUGCACUCAUGUGCAUCAUGCAUCUCAAUUAGGUACGAUAAUUGAUCGCGUGAUGCGGAAGACGAACCAAGUCGACCCCAAGCGCGGGCUACUCCGCAUGGAGAUGCUGAUGAACGAAUCUGCCUGAUCAAGUGCUAGGACAAGGAUGAUCGUUAAGUGGACGUCACCUAACAACACUAACCUAGUGUUACCCAGGCAAGCCCCGGUGCAUUUGCCACCUCCUUGUUGUUUUAAAACUUUUAUCACUUAUAUGCUGCAUUAGGUGAUAGGAGUUGAGUGAAGAAACAAUUGAUGCAUUGCCAUUCCUUGGAAUUCGAUUACUAUUCCUUGAUACCUGUUUUAUAAAGAGAACUAAUGAGGCUUAGCCCUGCUUAGAAACUAAAAGUUGUUUCUUUUAAAAAGAAUGUUGUGCAACACUGGAUAUGGGUUUUAUGAAAAAGGAACUUGUAAUAAUGAAGGCAUCACUCGCGAUGAUGAAUUCAUUAUUCGAGUAUUGUACCUCUGUCAGGUACAUGGUUUGGGUGUUAAAUAAUAAGAUGAGACCAGACGUUGAGCAGGAAAGGUCGCCCGUCUGUGUCGAUUAAGGACCGUUCCGAUUGUUGGCCUGCUGAUCUAGGACCCUUUAACUGGCCACAUGCCUCAUCAUGGGUAAGCUUAGCCUCGGCUGGACCAAUACCAGAAAGGUCGGCCCGCAAUGGGAGUGGAGAGAUGGCGAGAGUAUCGUGUAUCCACCUGGCAAGAGGCUGGAUGGUGGGGUACUGAGCUCUCGGUUGGCGGGGACCCGUUCUGGUCUUGAGAAACCCGGUGGCGAGUUGACAUAUGCAAGGGUUAAGUGCUACAUAUGUCGUGUGGUUGGAGAUCCCCAGCUGAGUAUUAAUCGAUUCGGAUCGCCGAACUUCUCGGAUAUGAAGACUGGAUCUUCGACCCUCAUCGUAGAUAACAAGUGAAACUAAAGCUGCUAAAAUGAAGCUAGUUUAGGACAAGUGAAUGCUCUAGAUUAGGCAAAUCUAGAUUCAGGAAAAGUACUUAAUCUAUGAAGUAAAACUUUGGCAUAAGGAUCCACUACUAAUAAGCUUUUCUGCAAAAACGAGUCUUUGAAAUUUGAUGAGCUUUAUCUUGAUUCCCAACAAACCAGCAUACCCUUGAGAGUCUUUUCUUUAGUCGGGUAAGUCUUGCUGAGUAAUUGCAUACUCAGGGUUUUAUUCCCUGUUUUUUUUCAGGUUAUAAUUUUGUUCUGUUGUGGAUGGUGCUAAGUGCCGGUGGGCUCGGCCUUCUUAUAUAAGUAUAUCCCAUCUUUAGCUUCUUUAUUGAGGAUUGUCACUUAAGCUAGCAUGUAUUUUAAAAACUUAUAAAUACUUUAUACAUUUUAAAGUGUAAUUCUGUUGAAUCAUUUUCUUUUGUAAUCACUCCAAUAAUUGUAUAAUGUAAACUUAUUGUAACAUGUAAUUAUUUUGCAAUAAAGAAUUUAUUUCCGCUGCAAAUAUUGGUGUGUGAUUUGUGUUUACUUAAUCUUGCGAUCUUGGCGGUAAGUCGUUUAUCCGGGGUCCUCGGGGCACUCGGACAGAUCCUGUUAAGUUGUUUGGUGCACACGCAUAGCUGUCUGAGGUUUUUGAGACAAGGACAGAUGCGUGUGGGCCCGAUAACUUGGGAGGUUCUGCGACAUUCUUCGAGCGACAUUUUGGUGUACCUGGGAUUCUCACGAAUGUUAUUCACCAAAUGAGGAUCAAGAACGGUAAAGGACCUUAGCAUCAAUCGGACUACGUCGUGGUCUGUCCAUCGCGUGCUUCCGGAGCUCCUUAUUUUGUUGAUAAGGGUCUUGAGCCGGUUGUAUGUUUGUGUCGGCUCCUCGCCCCUUAUCAUCGCGAAUCGUCCAAGCUCGCCCUCCACCAACUCCAUCUUGGUGAGCAAGGUCACGUCGUUCCCCUCAUGUGAAAUCUUGAGGGUGUCUCAGAUCUGCUUGGCGUUAUCCAAGCCGCUCACUUUGUGGUAUUCAUCCCU
This 10079-nucleotide long non-coding RNA is filed under the name Zea mays. Its description in RNAcentral is "long non-coding RNA (ZMAY_LNC004953)". Lineage: Eukaryota; Viridiplantae; Streptophyta; Magnoliopsida; Poales; Poaceae. The record is from RNAcentral.